This 327-nucleotide ribosomal RNA is filed under the name uncultured bacterium. Its description in RNAcentral is "partial 16S ribosomal RNA". It matches the Rfam family "Bacterial small subunit ribosomal RNA", at positions 106 to 426 of the family's 1533-position model. The record is from RNAcentral.
GGAAAAAAAAAAUCGGAACGUACCCAGAGGUGGGGGAUAACGCAGCGAAAGCUGUGCUAAUACUGCAUGUGAUCUGAGGAUGAAAGCGUGGGACCGAGCAGCAAUGUUUGGCCUCGCGCCUUUGGAGCGGCCGGUGUCGGAUUAGCUAGUUGGUGGGGUAAAGGCCUACCAAUGCGACGAUCCGUAGUUGGUCUGAGAGGACGACCAGUAACAUUGGGACUGAGACACGGCCCAGACUCCUAAGGGAGGCAGCAGUGGGGAAUUUUGGACAAUGGGCGUAAGCCUGAUCCAGCAAUGCCGCGUGCGGGAAGAAGUCCUUUUUUUUUU